GAUGAACGCUGGCGGCGUGCCUAAUACAUGCCAGUCGAGCGAACGGACGAGGAGCUUGCUUCUCUGAUGUUAGCGGCGGACGGGUGAGUAACACGUGGAUCACCUACCUAUAAGACUGGGAUAACUUCGGGAAACCGGAGCUAAUCCCGGAUAAUCUUUUGAACCGCAUGGUUCAAAAGUGAAAGACGGUCUUGCUGUCACUUAUCGAUGGAUCCGCGCUGCAUUAGCUAGUUGGUAAGGUAACGGCUUACCAAGGCAACGAUGCGUAGCCGAGCUGAGAGGGUGAUCGGCCACACUGGAACUGAGACACGGUCCAGACUCCUACGGGAGGCAGCAGUAGGGAAUCUGCCGCAAUGGGCGAAAGCCUGACGGAGCAACGCCGCGUGAGUGAUGAAGGUCUUCGGAGCGUAAAACUCUGUUAUGAGGGAAAAACAGAUGUGUAAGUAGCUGUGCACAUCGUGACGGUACCUAAUCAGGAAGCCACGGCUAACUACGUG
This 497-nucleotide ribosomal RNA is filed under the name uncultured bacterium. RNAcentral's name for it is "partial 16S ribosomal RNA". It matches the Rfam family "Bacterial small subunit ribosomal RNA", at positions 28 to 507 of the family's 1533-position model. The record is from RNAcentral.